GUGCAGCAGGCGAGAAUACUCCGCAAUGCCCGAAAGGGUGACGGGGGGAUUCCAAGUGCCUACGCUUAGCGUAGGCUGUUCAGGUGCCUAAAAAGCACCUGGAGGAAGGGCUGGGUAAGACGGGUGCCAGCCGCCGCGGUAAUACCCGCAGCCCGAGUGGUAGUCGCUUUUAUUGGGCCUAAAGCGUCCGUAGCCGGUCUGGUAAAUGCCUGGGUAAAUCGUGGGGCUUAACCUCACGAAUUCCGGGUAGACUGCCAGACUUGGGACCGGUUGAGGGAGAGGGUACUCCAGGGGUAGGGGUGAAAUCAGCAAGGUAAGCUGAUGUAACUUGCCUUGCAAGUCACAAUCCUGUAAUCCUUGGAGGACCACCGGUGGCGAAAGCGCUCUCCUAGGACGGGUCCGACGGUGAGGGACGAAAGCCAGGGGAGCAAAACCGGAUUAGAUACCCCCGUAGU
RNAcentral lists this ribosomal RNA (455 nucleotides) under uncultured microorganism. RNAcentral describes it as "bacterial SSU rRNA". It matches the Rfam family "Archaeal small subunit ribosomal RNA", at positions 330 to 745 of the family's 1478-position model. The record is from RNAcentral.